Pangasianodon gigas (Mekong giant catfish) is the source of this 72-nucleotide non-coding RNA. The record is from the annotation of a GenBank genome assembly. NCBI's taxonomy places the organism in Eukaryota, Metazoa, Chordata, Actinopteri, Siluriformes, Pangasiidae.
UCCCUGGAGGACUAGUGAUUAGGCCACGGUGCUCUCCCCGCAACGGCCCGGGUUCGAUUCCCAGACAGGGAA